CAACACUCAAGCUCAGCUUGGUCUUGAGCCUAGCCGGUCACGGCGGGCUUUAAAAUUAGUGGCGGUGCCACCUGGCUCUAAGCGUAGUAAUACUCCUCGCUAUUGAGUUCCGGUGGACGCUGGCCAGCAACCCCCAACUUUCUAA
RNAcentral lists this unclassified non-coding RNA (145 nucleotides) under uncultured Ascomycota. Its description in RNAcentral is "sequence contains ITS2". The record is from RNAcentral. Lineage: Eukaryota; Fungi; Ascomycota.